AAAAAUUAAGUUACCAGAGACUCUUCACCAUACGUCUCUUGAAUAUUAUUGUAGGUACCAAGGUACACACUAAUGAUUCUCACACAUACAAUAAAGUUCGCACCGGUUUUUUCCAACUCUAGCUCAGGGAUAUGUACAAUUGUUAGCAUGCCCCAAACUUAUGCAACGAUAACAAUCAGCAAGCCGUUGCUGCCCUCAAGUUUAACUCCUCUCCACGCAUCAGAUAUUUUCCCAAUUGAGCAACGGACUUAUCACAAAAAUAGAAUUUUCUACCAAAACAGUAUUUGAGCCCAUGAUACCAAGUAUGCAUACACAAAAUGAAAGAAACAAGCAAUACGCUUGUUAACAGUGCAGACCUUCUACUCAAGGUGGUAGAGGAGCCGCAUAAGGUGCCAGCAGCAAGCACACCCCCGCACCGUCAUCUACACCUUCCUCUCCUGUCCUCACAUUCACAACUACAACCAAGAAUAGCAACAAAGUCACCCUCUUCGUUCUCAAAAGUAAGGAAAAUAAAACAAUUUUGAGACGGUGGACAACUGACCUUCUUGUCGAGCUUGAUCUUUCUCAUCCCACGUAAUCCAUGUCAGAUCGCCACCGCUUCCCGAAAAAUCAGCAACCUCCUUGCUCUCCCCACCUCCUAAUAUUAAAAUAUCGACAUGAUAGCAGCAACAACACAGGGAGGGUCUUGAGAAUGAAGUGCCAUGUUCAUACCGAAGGAAAAUAAUCAUGCUCAAAUAGAAAGAUAUGAAUUAUUAGUAGAAGGAAGACACCUAUUAUAGCAUGCAUAACUAUUCAGUAUGAUCGCAAUGGUGAAUAAAAUUGACAAAUACUUUAUGGGAGGGGGAAGAACGACCACGGAAAAGAGGUGACGGUGAUGGUCGGUUGUGGGCUCAGUUUUGUUGAGGCUACGAUAACUUCCAAUAGCGAGACUUGAAGCCAUGCAUGGUGAUCGUGGAGUCCGUCUAUUUGAGUCGGCGCACGCGUCCAUCAAACCCGUACACAACUACAUGAUUUGGAGGGAGUGACUGGCCAGCCACCACCAGAGCACUUGGUGGUAAACAAUAAAUCAAUAUCUUCCUCUCGCGCGAUUAGAAAGUUAGCGUAUUCCAAAAACAAAAGAAACAAGGCUAAAAAUGAACUGCUUGAACUCCUCUACCAAGAAUAAGCGGUCAUAGAAAGUCCAUUGCUGGCACCUCACUUCUUCUAUCAAAAUGUGUUCAACUACAUUAAUGUUUCAAAAUUGCAAGUGUACUCAUAGGUGAAAAUUGAAAUUUUCUACGAUGGACAUGUAAAACAGUCUAGGUGAAUUAGGGAAAGUCGGUAGCACAACGAAUGAAUAACCAAGCUGACAACACAAAUAAUGAUUAACUAAGUUGAUAGCACAAACAAAAGUAACCACUGAUAGCAAAGAACAAUAUGAUCUACGAGUACAUGAGGAAGAAAUAUGUAAAAAAUAAUGGUAGCUAUCUGACUGUUUAAGCAGUUCAUCUCAAGGGCAGACAUAGUCAGUAAACAAAUUGGUGAAAAGAAGACUGAAGUUGUACCGUAAUUCAUCCAUGGCAGCUAUGUAGGAUGCAUUAUGAUGUGGUUCACUCCGAAAGAGGCUCCCUAUCCAAUCCAAAACCUGAAAUCGAUUAAUUACUCAACGCCAGAUAAUCAAUGUACCACUACAUGGUACCAUGAAUCCAUAAUAACUAAUUAAUCUACAACAAUUCUAGACAUCAUUGACACUUAGACGUUGUAAAACCAAAUUACAGAUAGAUUUUCAGAUUAACCCGAGUCUAUAACCUUAUACGCACUACCACAUUCGAUGAACGGCGAAACAAUGUUCAGCACUACCACAUAUAUUGUGAAUCUUCCCUGAACUUUUCAGUUU
RNAcentral lists this long non-coding RNA (1876 nucleotides) under Hordeum vulgare. Its description in RNAcentral is "long non-coding RNA (HVUL_LNC002063)". The record is from RNAcentral. Lineage: Eukaryota; Viridiplantae; Streptophyta; Magnoliopsida; Poales; Poaceae.